CUGUAUAUAGUGUUUGUAGGUCUUUUUAGAUAAUAGGGAAGGAAGUGAAAGUCUUCCACAGCCCCCGCUACUGUAAGUGUGAUGAACGCUGUGAGCCACUGUUGAAAGAUGGGAAGGGACAGCUAGUAAAGUGAUCGCGAGUCAGGAUACCUGCCUAUAGAUGUGAAAUCAG
RNAcentral lists this non-coding RNA (172 nucleotides) under Clostridiales bacterium. The record is from RNAcentral. Lineage: Bacteria; Bacillati; Bacillota; Clostridia; Eubacteriales.